This 327-nucleotide ribosomal RNA is filed under the name uncultured Actinomycetes bacterium. RNAcentral describes it as "bacterial SSU rRNA". It matches the Rfam family "Bacterial small subunit ribosomal RNA", at positions 28 to 351 of the family's 1533-position model. The record is from RNAcentral. Lineage: Bacteria; Bacillati; Actinomycetota; Actinomycetes.
GACGAACGCUGGCGGCGUGCUUAACACAUGCAAGUCGAACGGGAUCCAUGGAGCUUGCUCCGGAAGAUCUAGUGGCGAACGGGUGCGUAACACGUGAGAAACCUGCCCCAGACUUGGGAAUAACAGUCGGAAACGACUGCUAAUACCGAAUACCUUCGUAGCGUCGCAUGGCGCAUCGAAGAAAGCUUUUGCGGUUUGGGAGGGUCUCGCGGCCUAUCAGCUUGUUGGUGAGGUAACGGCUCACCAAGGCAUCGACGGGUAGCUGGUCUGAGAGGAUGAUCAGCCACACUGGGACUGAGACACGGCCCAGACUCCUACGGGUGGCAG